CCUACGGGAGGCAGCAGUGGGGAAUAUUGGGCAAUGGGCGCAAGCCUGACCCAGCAACGCCGCGUGAAGGAAGAAGGCUUUCGGGUUGUAAACUUCUUUUGACAGGGAAGAGCAGAAGACGGUACCUGUCGAAUCAGCCACGGCUAACUACGUGCCAGCAGCCGCGGUAAUACGUAGGUGGCAAGCGUUGUCCGGAUUUACUGGGGGUAAAGGGCGUGUAGCCGGGCUGACAAGUCAGAUGUGAAAUCCGGGGGCUCAACCCCCGAACUGCAUUUGAAACUGUUGGUCUUGAGUAUCGGAGAGGCAGGCGGAAUUCCUAGUGUAGCGGUGAAAUGCGUAGAUAUUAGGAGGAACACCAGUGGCGAAGGCGGCCUGCUGGACGACAACUGACGGUGAGGCGCGAAAGCGUGGGGAGCAAACAGGAUUAGAUACCCCGGUAGUC
Molecule: ribosomal RNA, 442 nt
Filed under: uncultured bacterium
Lineage: Bacteria
Description: partial 16S ribosomal RNA
Rfam family: Bacterial small subunit ribosomal RNA
Source: RNAcentral